GACGAACGCUGGCGGCGUGCUUAACACAUGCAAGUCGAACGAAGAGCGAUGGAAGCUUGCUUCUAUCAAUCUUAGUGGCGAACGGGUGAGUAACGCGUAAUCAACCUGCCCUUCAGAGGGGGACAACAGUUGGAAACGACUGCUAAUACCGCAUACGAUCUAACCUCGGCAUCGAGGAUAGAUGAAAGGUGGCCUCUACAUGUAAGCUAUCACUGAAGGAGGGGAUUGCGUCUGAUUAGCUAGUUGGAGGGGUAACGGCCCACCAAGGCGAUGAUCAGUAGCCGGUCUGAGAGGAUGAACGGCCACAUUGGGACUGAGACACGGCCCAGACUCCUACGGGAGGCAGCAGUGGGGAAUCUUCCGCAAUGGACGAAAGUCUGACGGAGCAACGCCGCGUGAGUGAUGACGGCCUUCGGGUUGUAAAGCUCUGUUAAUCGGGACGAAAGGCCUUCUUGCGAAU
This 460-nucleotide ribosomal RNA is filed under the name Veillonella parvula. Its description in RNAcentral is "bacterial SSU rRNA". It matches the Rfam family "Bacterial small subunit ribosomal RNA", at positions 28 to 465 of the family's 1533-position model. Lineage: Bacteria; Bacillati; Bacillota; Negativicutes; Veillonellales; Veillonellaceae. The record is from RNAcentral.